GAUGAAGAACGCAGCGAAAUGCGAUAAGUAAUGUGAAUUGCAGAAUUCAGUGAAUCAUCGAAUCUUUGAACGCACAUUGCGCCCGCCAGCAUUCUGGCGGGCAUGCCUGUUCGAGCGUCAUUUCAACCCUCGAGCCCCCCCGGGGGCCUCGGUGUUGGGGGACGGCACACCAGCCGCCCCCGAAAUGCAGUGGCGACCCCGCCGCAGCCUCCCCUGCGUAGUAGCACACACCUCGCACCGGAGCGCGGAGGCGGUCACGCCGUAAAACGCCCAACUUUCUUAGAGUUGACCUCGGAUCAGGUAGGAAUACCCGCUGAACUUAAGCAUAUCAAUAUGCGGAGGA
Molecule: unclassified non-coding RNA, 343 nt
Filed under: soil metagenome
Description: partial contains 5.8S ribosomal RNA, internal transcribed spacer 2, and large subunit ribosomal RNA
Rfam family: 5.8S ribosomal RNA (bases 1-120)
Source: RNAcentral